RNAcentral lists this ribosomal RNA (374 nucleotides) under Leucoagaricus sp. BAB-3657. RNAcentral describes it as "eukaryotic LSU rRNA". The stretch from base 1 to 105 matches the Rfam family "5.8S ribosomal RNA", at positions 50 to 154 of the family's 154-position model. The record is from RNAcentral. Lineage: Eukaryota; Fungi; Basidiomycota; Agaricomycetes; Agaricales; Agaricaceae.
UUUAUGCGAUACUUGGUGUGAAUUGCAGAAUUCAGUGAAUCAUCGAAUCUUUGAACGCAUCUUGCGCUCCUUGGUAUUCCGAGGAGCAUGCCUGUUUGAGUGUCAGUAAAUUCUCAAUCCCCUCUAGCUUUUGCAGUUGGGACUUGGAUAGUGGAGGUAUUUGCAGGCGCCCUUUGAGGGUGUCAGCUCCUCUGAAAUGUAUUAGCGGAACCGUUUGCAAUCCGUUACAGGUGUGAUAAUUAUCUACACCCCGUGGGUUGCUCUCUUAGUGUUCAGCUUCCAACUGUCCUUUCUCUGGACAACUUACUGAAAUUUUGACCUCAAAUCAGGUAGGACUACCCGCUGAACUUAAGCAUAUCAAUAAGGCGGAGGAA